UUAAUUGAAACCAAAAAGAGGUCUACCACUGUUAAUGGUAAAAAUGGAACACUUCCCAAUUAAA
This 64-nucleotide transfer RNA is filed under the name Nigidius miwai. RNAcentral's name for it is "tRNA-Asn". Lineage: Eukaryota; Metazoa; Arthropoda; Insecta; Coleoptera; Lucanidae. The record is from RNAcentral.